AACGGCGAGUGAAGCGGCAAGAGCUCAAAUUUGAAAUCUGGCCUCCUACGGGGGUCCGAGUUGUAAUUUGUAGAGGAUGCUUCGGGUGUGGCCGCCGUCUAAGUUCCUUGGAACAGGACGUCAGAGAGGGUGAGAAUCCCGUCUUGGGCGGCCGGUCCGCGCCCGUGUGAAGCUCCUUCGACGAGUCGAGUUGUUUGGGAAUGCAGCUCUAAGCGGGUGGUAAAUUUCAUCUAAAGCUAAAUACUGGUCGGAGACCGAUAGCGCACAAGUAGAGUGAUCGAAAGGUUAAAAGCACCUUGAAAAGGGAGUUAAACAGCACGUGAAAUUGUUGAAAGGGAAGCGCUUGCGGCCAGACUCGGGGGCGGGGUUCAGCGGGCGCUCGUCGCCCGUGCACUCCCCGUCUCCCGGGCCAGCAUCAGUUUCGACGGCCGGUCAAAGGCCCCCGGAAUGUGUCGUCUCUCGGGACGUCUUAUAGCCGGGGGUGCAAUGCGGCCCGUCGGGACUGAGGAACGCGCUUCGGCUCGGAUGCUGGCGUAAUGGCCGUAAGCGGCCCGUCUUGAAACACGGACCAAGGAGUCUAACAUCCACGCGAGUGUUCGGGUGUCAAACCCGUGCGCGCAGUGAAAGCGAACGGAGGUGGGAGCCUUAGGGCGCACCAUCGACCGAUCCUGAAGUCUUCGGAUGGAUUUGAGUAGGAGCGUGGCCGUUGGGACCCGAAAGAUGGUGAACUAUGCCUGAAUAGGGUGAAGCCAGAGGAAACUCUGGUGGAGGCUCGCAGCGGUUCUGACGUGCAAAUCGAUCGUCAAAUUU
This 810-nucleotide ribosomal RNA is filed under the name Nannizzia duboisii. RNAcentral's name for it is "LSU rRNA". It matches the Rfam family "Eukaryotic large subunit ribosomal RNA", at positions 85 to 912 of the family's 3401-position model. Lineage: Eukaryota; Fungi; Ascomycota; Eurotiomycetes; Onygenales; Arthrodermataceae. The record is from RNAcentral.